GCUUGGGUGGCAGAGCCUGGUAAUUGCAAAAGUCCUAAGAUCUUUAAACCAGAGGUUCAAAUCCUCUUCCUAGCC
This 75-nucleotide transfer RNA is filed under the name Uraeotyphlus gansi (Gansi caecilian). Its description in RNAcentral is "tRNA-Leu". It matches the Rfam family "tRNA". From Rfam's summary of the family: Transfer RNA (tRNA) molecules are approximately 80 nucleotides in length. Their secondary structure includes four short double-helical elements and three loops (D, anti-codon, and T loops). Further hydrogen bonds mediate the characteristic L-shaped molecular structure. tRNAs have two regions of fundamental functional importance: the anti-codon, which is responsible for specific mRNA codon recognition, and the 3' end, to which the tRNAs corresponding amino acid is attached (by aminoacyl-tRNA synthetases). tRNAs cope with the degeneracy of the genetic code in two manners: having more than one tRNA (with a specific anti-codon) for a particular amino acid; and 'wobble' base-pairing, i.e. permitting non-standard base-pairing at the 3rd anti-codon position. The record is from RNAcentral. Lineage: Eukaryota; Metazoa; Chordata; Amphibia; Gymnophiona; Ichthyophiidae.